ACGGGGGGCAGAGGGGUGGCAGGGACGUCUCUGCCCUUCCCGGCCCCAAGGCUCAGCCCUGGCUUUCUGGACCCACACAGAUGGCCUCCCGCCUUCUCCACGGACUCCCACGCCUCAGGUCCCUGUCAUAGUCCAAGCCGGUUCGCAAGGGGACGAGGGAGGAGGAACACUUCAGCACCUCCUAUGUGCCCACUCGGCACUGAGAGCUGGCAUUGUCCCUUCCCACAUCAGACACCGUCUCGUCCACUCGCCUGCCGCCUGAGUAUCGUCUGUCUCCCCCAUUUGAGUACAAACACAGAGGACACUUACCGACUGGCCACUGUGCACCAGACUCCACGCUAAACACAACACAGGGAUCGACUCUGGCUUCCUCGCGGCAACCCGGCCAGGCGGGUACCAUAAUGAUUCCCUUUGACAGAGCCAGCAAGGGCUUUCGUCACUGCUUGUCCCCAGAACCAAGUCCACGGCCUGGCACAUAGCCGGUGCUCCAAAAAGAGCGAGUGAACGAACAGGUGAGUGAAAGCACGAGCUCCCGGAGUUCUGACAAUGCCUGUCCAGGAGGUAUUUACCCAUGAGGAAACCAAGGCUCGGAGAGGUGAGGUGACUUGCCCCGGGUCACAGUGAAGAUGUCACAGAACUGAGAUUUGAAGCUCGGGUGUCUUUUGUAAAACGCAAAGUGGGAGCUCAGUCCCCUCUGCCCUCCUGCCCCCUCGUGGCCCUGACCCCUCUCUAGGCUGCCCCCACCUCUGGACCACGGGGCCCAGGAGGGUGAACACGUGCCUGCCCGUCUCGGUGUCCGUAGGGUCCAGCCCGGGCCCGGCACACAGUAGGCCUUCAGAACGAAAUUCCGGCUCCUCCCUCCUGCCUCCAACACCUCCCAGGAUCGGGGUCUUCAGAACAUCACCCCAUCGCCUUUCUCCUCUCCUUACAUGCUGUUCCCUCUACCAGGAACACUCUUCCAGCACUUCCAUCCCACCCUCAGCUUAGAGGCCACCUCCUCUGCCGGGAAGCUCGAGGCACUUGGGGCUGCGGGGCCCCACUCUGCUGACCCGCGGGCCCUCCACUCCAGCCCAUGUCCUUACUUCCCUCUCCUUAGGGGCAGUUGGCCCGCACUGGCUGUCCAGCCACCCUAGUUUCAUCCCCACCCUGCCACUGACCUCCCGGGUGAACUCGGCCUGGGCCAUCGUUAGCUCAUCUGUCAGAUGGGUAGAAAAUUUGACUGUCACAGUCAGUGAAGGCUUGCUGUCCAUCAACCGGGUCACAUCAGUUCCUACUCAGAUCCUGCCAGUGGCAUUCGGCCCACAAAUCCCUACAUGAUCUCAGCCCUGCUGACCUCUCCAGCAUCAUCUCCUGUCACCUGCCCCUCCCUCUGUCCUGUCCAGCCACCUGGCCUCCUGCGUUUCCUGGAGCAUUCCAAGCCCACCCCAGGGCCCUUGCCCUUGAAGAUCCCUUCCCUUGGGAUUCAUUCCCCCUCCUCCUUCAGAUGUCGCUCCAUGCUCCCUCCUCAGAGAAGCCCUCUCCGUGAGCGAGCAGACAGCAAGCCUUCACAGCUCACGGCUUCACAGCUUCCCGCAGCUCCACGGCAACCCCUGUUUAUCUCCGUCUUGGCCUUCUCCCCGGUGCAAACUGUCUUAUCUAUUCGUGGGUUUGCUUGCUGAUCUCCUGUGUCCUCCACCAGAAUUGAGGCAGAGACCCCUUGUUCGCUGCUGUGUUCCCUGGAGUCUUGUAUACAGUAGGUGCUCAAGCAACGGUUGUGACACGAAGGGAAGAUCAUCAAAGCGCUUCCCUUUCCCUGCCCACCCCACCCCUAGCCGGAAGUUCAGGGCCUGGGAACCAGGUGGCUCCCUCCGAGCCCCAGAUCGCGUCUGGUUCCCAGCCUCAUAAAAACCAUCACUCUCACUUUGCCCCUGGGCAGCAGAGGGUGAAGGAGGCAGGCGUGGGGCCCAGAGGCUGACCCCAACGUGGCUUCAGAGACCGGGGCCAGGAGAAGGUGCAGACUGUGGCAGUGAGUGUUCAUGGAGCGCUUUGUGUGGGUCCGGCAGCUGUUUGCACACCGCACACAGCACUCACGGCCAACUGUACAAGGUCAGGAUCACCACCCCGAUGCUCUGCCAGCGAGGAAACUGAGGCAUCACGGGGCGCAGCAGCAUGCCCCAGACCCGGCAGCCAGAGAAAGCCACAGUCAGGAUCCGAACCCGGCUCUGCCGGCCACCAAAGCCCGCGUGUGCCCACCCACCCUGGUCAGCCCACGGAUUCCGUGUGAGCUCCAACUAUGUGCCAGGCGCUGGUUCUGAGCACUGGGCCUCGAGGCCGACCAGCACUGAGGCCGCAGGCAGGGUACUCAGCCCCUCUGGGCCUCGGUUUCCCCACCUGGCGUUUGCGGUUUCAUAGGGUUACCCUAAGACCAGGAUAAGAUAUGUGCCCAGUGCCUUGAACGCAGUAAGUGCUUAAUAAGCGCUCACAGUUAUUUACUCCAGUCGUCUGGGCCUUGCUUUCCCCAUCUGUAACCGGGAGGGCAGCCCUAAUCACCCAGGACCUCUUCUAGGUCACCGGAGCAAAACCCGGGGGUCCUGGGGUGGCCCUGCCAGGCUGAGAAGGUCUGGGGGAUGGGAGAGGGCGGCACAGCGGCUGGGAUCAGGAAGCUGCAGGAGGCUGGGCUGACUCACCAGUCAGCCGGGCUUGGGGGCUGGGCUGCGGGCCCCCCACGCGCCCCUCUGGGCCCUGCCUUGCGCCCAAAAAUGCUGUGUCAUGCUCUGUCAUGUGGCUCCGGGUCAUUAAUACCCGAGUUCUGGGAAGCUUGGGCCGAGUUCCCGGAAGGGGUCAGUCAGUUCAGUAAACAGAUUGGCUGGUUGGUCGUCACAGCUGAGCCGGGCGGGCCUGCAGCUCAGGAGGCAGGAGGUGGGGACCGGUGGCCACAGGGGACACAGGAACUGCCCCCAUCCCUAGGCAGGGCUAGCACCUCCCAGGGCAGUCUGGCCCAGGAUCCGCACAUGAGAGGGGAAACCGAGGCUCAGAGAGGGCAAGGCACUUGCCAGAGGCCACACAGCGAGUCUAGGGUUCAAACCCAGAAUUCUGGACUCAUCAUCCAGUGCUCUCAGCAUCUGUCUGACUGAAGGGUGGGAGGCUCUGUAUCCUCCUUACCCCCCAAUCCUGACCUAGACCCCAAAGCCAGUUUGUUGGAUGAAGGGAAAAACACACAGAAGGCAAUUUGGGCAGGAAGUGGGUUUGGAAGGAUAUCAGGCUGUCCCCAGUGGUAGGUCCUAGAAUAAUAAGACUUCAACUUUCUUGAGCACCUACUAUGCGUCCUUAGGCACAUGAGGGCCACUUAGGCUCUGCUCUAAGUAUCUUACAUUAAGUCACGCAUUUAAUAUGCAGCCACCUUCACACAGAUAACCACAGCCCUCAUUUUUUAAGCAUCUACUAAGUGCCAAGCACUGAGCUGGGUGAUUGAUAGGCACCACCUCUGAUCUUCACACGGACCCUAUUGGGUGCCCACUGUCCUCACCCCCAUUUAUCAGAUGAGGAAGUAGAGGCCCAGGAAGGUGAGCGGCUGUGUCAUUUGGUGGCAGGAGAGUAGGCCCCGGAGUCCCCUGGACCUGGGGAUUCAAACCUUGGCUUCACCCCUUCCAUCGGUAUAAUGUCACGAAAGCGACCCCACCACUCGGAGCCUGGGUUCCCCCCCUCGGGUAAGUAGGGAUGUUUAUGGUACUCGGGACACAGGGAGCCAGACCUGGCGUGAGCACAUAAGGGUCGUUACAGAGCAGCGGUUGGAACGCAGACUUCGGGCUCCAGUCCUACUGGGUGACCUCAGGUACACAGCUUAACUUCUCUGGGCCUCUGUGUCCUCUGUAAAACGGGCAUCAUACACCUCCCUCGUGCCGCCAGCGGGAGGAAGAGCUGGGCAUUGCACAGGCAGUCAGCACGGGUGACCUCUUCUUCUGUCCCACAGAUGAUGACUCUGCUGGGGUGAGGGGAAGGGGCCCUAGGCCGUGGACGAAGGACAAGGCAUCCAUGCUCUCUGCCACCCUUCUGGUCCCACAAGCAAUUUAAACAGAGGAGGUCAGCCCCUCAUUCUUCUCCACAUUCUCGGGGCCCCCCCCCCCCCGGGCCCGGUUGUGCUCCUGACAGGCCUCAUCUCUGCUCUUUGGUUUUUGCGGCGCCUCUGACCAUCGGUAGCUCCAGCCCCGACCCCCUUGGUCCAGACCCUCACCUCGCUAUCCCCACCUUCACACUUGCACUCACGGGGUCCUCCACCUCGCAUGCUCUCACUUACCCUAGCCCAUCUGCCUGCUCUAUAUUUCACCCAUCCUUUGCCACUCGGAUCCAAAACCGCCUCCUCCAGGGAGCCUGCCCGGAUCCUCCCCCUAAAAGCAAACUCUCCUGGAUUCUCUCUAAACCUCACUUACCCCUUCCUAUCAUUACACAUCAGCUAUUUUUGCACACGUCACCUCCAAUUUUGGCUGCCGUGGGGUGGAAAAUUUGCAAGGGAGCUUUGGAAAAGAAAUUUUAUUGCCUCUAAAAUACUUAAAGAAACCUGCUAAAUCGAAAUUAAUCAAUCUUUCAUUAAGCCACUCAAACUUCACAAUUCAGCAUUCAAUUCCUAAUUUAGUAUUUACGAAAAUUUUUGUGCUGUUUGAAAACAAUCUGCAAGCGAGAAUGUUCCUUGUUGGGCAAACACUCCCUGGUGUACAUGGGGAUUGCCAAGAACCCAAAGUCAGUGGUAAAAUAAAUGAGCAGCCUGUUGCCAAACAAUUUCGGAAGUGAAAUUAUUAAUAUUAUUAAAGUUCUUUUGUGAUUUUCCCAG
Long non-coding RNA from Herpailurus yagouaroundi (jaguarundi), 4804 nucleotides. RefSeq lists it as uncharacterized. NCBI's taxonomy places the organism in Eukaryota, Metazoa, Chordata, Mammalia, Carnivora, Felidae. The transcript is spliced from 2 exons. The record is from RefSeq and is a predicted model, not a curated record.